This 52-nucleotide small RNA is filed under the name Arabidopsis thaliana (thale cress). Its description in RNAcentral is "ATSL282620". The record is from RNAcentral. Lineage: Eukaryota; Viridiplantae; Streptophyta; Magnoliopsida; Brassicales; Brassicaceae.
UUUUUUCAAUCAAAACUUCGACCUCCUGCUUUUCUCAUCCCGGACCAAAUCA